Molecule: ribosomal RNA, 440 nt
Filed under: uncultured bacterium
Lineage: Bacteria
Description: partial 16S ribosomal RNA
Rfam family: Bacterial small subunit ribosomal RNA
Source: RNAcentral
CUACGGGUCGCUCCAGUGAGGAAUAUUGCACAAUGGGGGGAACCCUGAUGCAGCAACGCCGCGUGGAGGAUGACGCAUUUCGGUGUGUAAACUCCUUUUAUAUGUCAAGAAAAUGACGGUAGCAUAUGAAUAAGCACCGGCGUAACUCCGUGCCAGCAGCCGCGGUAAUGCGGAGGGUGCAAGCGUUACUCGGAAUCACUGGGCGUAAAGGACGCGUAGGCGGGUUGGAAAGUCAGGUGUGAAAUCCUACAGCUUAACUGUAGAACUGCACUUGAAACUUCUAAUCUAGAGUAUGGGAGGGGGAGAUGGAAUUAGUGGUGUAGGGGUAAAAUCCGUAGAUAUCACUAGGAAUACCUAAAGCGAAGGCGAUCUCCUGGAACAUUACUGACGCUAAGGCGUGAAAGCGUGGGGAGCAAACAGGAUUAGAUACCCCGGUAGUC